GAGACUGGGGAGGGAGAAAUCUCAGUUUGAAGUCUCAGUCUUCCUCAUUUCAACAGACUACAGCAGCAUCCGUCGGACCAUCAGCUCAGUCCCAUCAUACGAUGCAGUUUUGAGUAAUCAUAACACCUACGUGGAUGUAUUGCACUCCAAGUUAUGCAUGUGACCAAAACAAUGACCUGUUGUUAUUUUUGGCACUGUUCUCUGCGUUGAACGACUGAAGAAUCCCUAAAUAUUGGGAGCAUCAUCUCAGGGAACGGACUCUCUGGCGGAGCGCAGGACGGGAUGGGAUCGCAACAGCGCGUUUAGGAAACGGCAAUGGCAAGUUUAAACGUUCAUGCACUGCGGAUGCUGGCUAUAAAAACACAAGAGGUACGGCUUUAAAUGAAGUUUAAAAAGUAAUAAUCUGCAAUAAUUCAAUAAUCGGCUGUGCAUGAACUGCUCCGUCAGUGGCGGACUGUUAAUUCUUCACAUUAAGCAGCGCUGGUUCUUCGGGCACAAUGAAAUCCAUCUUCUACACGCGCUUUUUCAUCCUUCUUCCGUGGAUCUUGAUAGUGAUCAUCGUGAUCGACAUCGAUACGAAGAGACUGUCUGUACGGAACACGGCCAGCUUUUAUUUGUCUCGGCUGGGAAAUGUGCAGCAGCAGCGACGGCAGGUCGUCAGGACGACUCGCACCAGCAGCAGCAGCAGCAGCAGCGGGAGGAACGCAACAUCUCUCCCGGUCAUUUAUGCCAUCACUCCUACUUACAGCCGAGCGGUGCAGAAAGCAGAGCUCACCCGCUUGGCAAAUACGUUCCGCCAGGUACCGCAGUUCCACUGGAUCUUGGUGGAGGACUCUAACUCGCACUCGGAGCUGGUUUCUCGGUUUCUCGCCCGCUCUGGGCUGCGAUACACUCACCUGAACGUGUUCACCCCGCGCAGGUUCAAGCGGACAGGGAUGCCCCGAGCGACCGAGCAGAGGAACUUAGCGCUCGGCUGGCUGAGAGGACAUCGAUCGCCCAAAGAUAAAGGAGUCGUUUUCUUCGCGGAUGAUGAUAACACUUACAGCCUUGAAUUAUUUGAAGAGAUGCGGUCAACCAGGAGAGUGUCAGUGUGGCCAGUGGGACUCGUUGGAGGACGGAGGUACGAGCGGCCCUUGGUGGAAAAGGGGAAAGUGGUCGGCUGGUACACUGGUUGGAAGGCCGACAGGCCAUUUGCAAUUGACAUGGCUGGCUUUGCAGUGAACCUGCAGGUGAUCCUGUCAAACCCGCGUGCCCUGUUCAAGAGAAGAGGAGCUAAACCAGGAAUGCAAGAGUCUGAUUUCCUCAAACAAAUCACUAAGGUGGAGGACUUGGAGCCAAAGGCCAAGAACUGUACCCAGAAGCCAAUACGAGGUAUUGAAGAGGGGAGAUAGGAUCUAGAGGAGCAGGGUGACAGAGUGCCUCGUCUUAUUCCUGGAUCGCUCAAAGUCCUGGUCUGGCAUACCCGCACUGAGAAGGUCAACCUGGGUAACGAACCAAAGCGGCAACAGGACUCGGUCUAUAUAGAGGUCUAGCGAGCAACACUGCACUAAGACUGUCACAGAACACUGGAAUAAGGCCCGCCAUC
Molecule: RNA transcript, 1585 nt
Organism: Carassius carassius (crucian carp)
Lineage: Eukaryota; Metazoa; Chordata; Actinopteri; Cypriniformes; Cyprinidae
Gene: b3gat2
Gene name: beta-1,3-glucuronyltransferase 2 (glucuronosyltransferase S)
Exons: 5
Source: RefSeq, a predicted model, not a curated record